AUCUCCUUGGUGAUCCUGAAUCCAUUUGUGAGUCCAGGAUGUCUUGGUGGUGGAAUGACAUCAGGCCUGUGAAAUAGGGAAAGCGUAGACUUGACUCCUGUGAACUAUGCUUUGGAAGUAAAUGAUGAAGGAAGAAUAAAGAAUAAUGCAGUAAGGAAGAUCAUAGCAUUUUGGAGCAGAAAGAAGGUUGUGGAGACAA
This is a long non-coding RNA of Cercocebus atys (sooty mangabey), 199 nucleotides long. RefSeq lists it as uncharacterized. Lineage: Eukaryota; Metazoa; Chordata; Mammalia; Primates; Cercopithecidae. The record is from RefSeq and is a predicted model, not a curated record. The transcript is spliced from 2 exons.